Long non-coding RNA from Mytilus californianus (California mussel), 792 nucleotides. RefSeq lists it as uncharacterized. The record is from RefSeq and is a predicted model, not a curated record. The transcript is spliced from 2 exons. NCBI's taxonomy places the organism in Eukaryota, Metazoa, Mollusca, Bivalvia, Mytilida, Mytilidae.
CUGAAGAGCCGCAUCACAUAAAUAAAGACAGAAUAUUUUGUAAACUCAGAAAAUCUUGCCAGGGGCUCUCUAAUUUUACAGAUUGGGGCCUGGAUUUUUUUGGAAGAUAUAUAAGGGGUAGGGCUAUAGCUUAUAUAAACAAUUUUAACUGAAUGUACAACAAUUUUAGACUCCUUUUUAAAGAUUUUGGUGGUCCUUAAAAGGACUGUUAAUUUUGUCUGUAUCUUUUUCAGCAGUAGAUGAAUGCAGCUAUAUCUUCCUUUGAUUUUGGAACUUUUGAAGAACAGCUUCUGGUUGGUUAACUUGUUUGGACCCAAGUACAUAGAUCUCAGCCACCAACAGUUUGAGUGUCCACCACCACCACACACGUAUGAACUAGUGGGACAUUUAGAGCAGUCACAAGUAUAACAACGCACAGUAGCAUUAAGCAUUCAGGCAGAUCCAGGAUUUCCCUCAACAUUUGUUAAACUGUAGGAGGUGCCGUCUUGACUGGUUUUAGCUACAAGUGAGAACUUCUCUGCAUCUAGCCUCUUCCAUUGUAUAUUAAAUGAACUUAGCUGACUGUUUAAAGACUAAUUCUCAUGAUUUAUACCCUUGUUAUGGGGUAUACUUCUUUGCAUAUUUAAUUUUUAUACGAUUUUUUUUUAAUUAAAAAAUUAAUUAUAAUUAAUUUUAUUUUCAGCAAAAUUUUUUUUAACAAGAUUUCCAUACAAAUAAUGAAUUUAUCUACCAUGUGCAAUUAACAGAAUGUAAAUAUCUUUUAAAAUAAAAAAAUUUUGCUGAUUUUAAGAA